CCUCUCGGGGUUUUUUGGGGCUGGACGCAGCCACCGCAGCCCCCCCGGGUGUCACCAGCCCUGUCCCCUUGUCCCCACAGGGUGAAUUCGGCGUUUACCUCGUCUCGGACGGCAGCAGCCGCCCCUACCGCUGCAAGAUCAAGGCGCCCGGCUUCGCCCACCUGGCCGGCCUGGACAGGAUGUCGCAGGGCCACAUGCUGGCAGACGUGGUGGCCAUCAUCGGCACGCAGGACAUCGUGUUCGGGGAGGUGGAUCGGUGAGGGGCUCAGCGCCGUGCCCCCGCUGCGUGUGCUGCUCCCUGCGCUCCCCCCUGCGCCCCCCCCGUGCUGUCCCUUCACCGAUUUGAGUCGAAUAAAGGCUAAAACGGGUCCCGGCUCCGCGCUUCUGUCCCUGCGUCAGCCCUCGGCUGCCGGAACCGGGUGAAACCCCGCUCCUCUGCCCUUUCCCACACAAGGCUCGUGGUCGAGAGCUUCCCCUUCCCUCGAUGUGGGGCCCGCGGGCGCAUCACCCUCUCCGGGAGGAUCCUCCCCGC
This 532-nucleotide long non-coding RNA is filed under the name Anas platyrhynchos platyrhynchos (common mallard). RNAcentral describes it as "lncRNA (ENSAPLG00000029410.1)". The record is from RNAcentral. Lineage: Eukaryota; Metazoa; Chordata; Aves; Anseriformes; Anatidae.